GACGAACGCUGGCGGCGUGCUUAACACAUGCAAGUCGAACGGAAAGGCCCUGCUUUUGUGGGGUGCUCGAGUGGCGAACGGGUGAGUAACACGUGAGUAACCUGCCCUUGACUUUGGGAUAACUUCAGGAAACUGGGGCUAAUACCGGAUAGGAGCUCCUGCUGCAUGGUGGGGGUUGGAAAGUUUCGGCGGUUGGGGAUGGACUCGCGGCUUAUCAGCUUGUUGGUGGGGUAGUGGCUUACCAAGGCUUUGACGGGUAGCCGGCCUGAGAGGGUGACCGGCCACAUUGGGCCUGAGAUACGGCCCAGACUCCUCCGGGAGGCAGCAGUGGGGAAUAUUGCACAAUGGGCGGAAGCCUGAUGCAGCAACGCCGCGUGCGGGAUGACGGCCUUCGGGUUGUAAACCGCUUUCGCCUGUGACGAAGCGUGAGUGACGGUACUGGGUAAAGAAGCACCGGCUAACUACGUG
This 468-nucleotide ribosomal RNA is filed under the name uncultured bacterium. Its description in RNAcentral is "partial 16S ribosomal RNA". It matches the Rfam family "Bacterial small subunit ribosomal RNA", at positions 28 to 507 of the family's 1533-position model. The record is from RNAcentral.